AACUUCUCUUAAAAUAUUAUAGCAUCGCAUUUAUCUCCAUUGCAAGAAGAUCAUGACUUUGUCUAGAAUGGCUUCCCAAAUAUUUAAUUCAGCCAGGGUGAAAGCUUGAUUUGCGUAACAGAUGCAACAUACCUUCAUUCUAGCAUAGCAGUAAGGAGUCAGCAAGACAAUCUCAUGACAGCUUACAUAAACUAAUAAGAUACAUAAACCUUACGUAACAAAAUUCACGACAAUGCAUUUGAACUAAGAGAAUGGAAAGGAAACAAAAAUAUAUCAAAA
This 279-nucleotide long non-coding RNA is filed under the name Phoenix dactylifera (date palm). RNAcentral's name for it is "long non-coding RNA (PDAC_LNC001864)". Lineage: Eukaryota; Viridiplantae; Streptophyta; Magnoliopsida; Arecales; Arecaceae. The record is from RNAcentral.